This 520-nucleotide ribosomal RNA is filed under the name uncultured Scutellospora. RNAcentral's name for it is "SSU rRNA". It matches the Rfam family "Eukaryotic small subunit ribosomal RNA", at positions 569 to 1094 of the family's 1831-position model. Lineage: Eukaryota; Fungi; Glomeromycota; Glomeromycetes; Diversisporales; Gigasporaceae. The record is from RNAcentral.
AGCAGCCGCGGUAAUUCCAGCUCCAAUAGCGUAUAUUAAAGUUGUUGCAGUUAAAAAGCUCGUAGUUGAAUUUCGGGGUUCUACCGUUGGUCGGGCUUUGUCUGUACUGGCGUGUAGAAUUUCUACCUUCUGGGGAACUAUCAUGUUAUUAAUUUAGCGUGGUAGGAAACCAGGACCUUUACCUUGAAAAAAUUAGAGUGUUCAAAGCAGGCUUAUGUCUGAAUACAUUAGCAUGGAAUAAUAAAAUAGGACGGUGGUCCUGUUUUGUUGGUUUCUGAAUCACCGUAAGGAUUAAUAGGGAUAGUUGGGGGCAUUAGUAUUCAAUUGUCAGAGGUGAAAUUCUUGGAUUUAUUGAAGACUAACUACUGCGAAAGCAUUUGCCAAGGAUGUUUUCAUUAAUCAAGAACGAAAGUUAGGGAUCGAAGACGAUCAGAUACCGUCGUAGUCUUAACCAUAAACUAUGCCGACUAGGGAUCGGAUGAUGUUAAUUUUUAAUGUACUCUAUUCGGCGCCUUACGGA